AUUACAUAUGCUUAUAGUGUUAAUGCUAUAAGAGUGUAGUAUCUACUCACCAAUAUUUCAAGGUAAAUCCCUUCAUCAACUAAUAAAAAUGUUAUUGCAUAACUAAUGUUAUACUGUAGCGCUGCCCUGAUAUCCAGCAAAAAUUAUUUUGCUGAGUAUCGUAAUAAAAGUUAAGAUAUGAUGUUAAGAUUUUUUUAGUCGUGCAACAACUAUUAACAGCAAGCUAUAUACUUCUUAAAA
Molecule: unclassified non-coding RNA, 240 nt
Filed under: uncultured Rickettsia sp.
Lineage: Bacteria; Pseudomonadati; Pseudomonadota; Alphaproteobacteria; Rickettsiales; Rickettsiaceae
Description: sequence contains ITS2
Source: RNAcentral